AGCACGGAUUAGUUUACUAAUUGGGUGGCGACCGGCGCACGGGUGCGUAACGCGUAUGCAACCUACCUUGUACUGGGGUAUAGCCCGGAGAAAUUCGGAUUAAUCCCCCAUAGUAUUAAACAACCGCAUGGUUGAAUAAUUAAAGGUUACGGUACAAGAUGGGCAUGCGUCCUAUUAGCUAGAUGGUGAGGUAACGGCUCACCAUGGCGACGAUAGGUAGGGGGCCUGAGAGGGUGGUCCCCCACACUGGUACUGAGACACGGACCAGACUCCUACGGGAGGCAGCAGUGAGGAAUAUUGGUCAAUGGGCGCAAGCCUGAACCAGCCAUGCCGCGUGCAGGAAGAAUGCCCUAUGGGUUGUAAACUGCUUUUAUUUAGGAAUAAACUCUUGUACGUGUACAAGCCUGAAGGUACUAAAUGAAUAAGCACCGGCUAACUCCGUGCCAGCAGCCGCGGUAAUACGGAGGGUGCAAGCGUUAUCCGGAAUCAUUGGGUUUAAAGGGUCCGC
This 508-nucleotide ribosomal RNA is filed under the name uncultured bacterium. RNAcentral's name for it is "bacterial SSU rRNA". It matches the Rfam family "Bacterial small subunit ribosomal RNA", at positions 68 to 572 of the family's 1533-position model. The record is from RNAcentral.